RNAcentral lists this ribosomal RNA (500 nucleotides) under uncultured Glomeromycotina. Its description in RNAcentral is "partial small subunit ribosomal RNA". It matches the Rfam family "Eukaryotic small subunit ribosomal RNA", at positions 591 to 1092 of the family's 1831-position model. Lineage: Eukaryota; Fungi; Glomeromycota. The record is from RNAcentral.
CCAAUAGCGUAUAUUAAAGUUGUUGCAGUUAAAAAGCCCGUAGUUGAAUUUCGGGAUCAAUACGUCUGUCGUGCCUUCGGUACGUACGGGUGUAAUUGGUUUCUACCUUCUGAGGAUCCUUGAUGUCAUUAAUUUGGUGUCUUGGGGAAUCAGGACUGUUACCUUGAAAAAAUUAGAGUGUUUAAAGCAGGCAUACGCUUGAAUACAUUAGCAUGGAAUAAUGAAAUAGGACGUUCGAUUCUAUUUUGUUGGUUUCUAGGAUCGACGUAAUGAUUAAUAGGGAUAGUUGGGGGCAUUAGUAUUCAAUUGUCAGAGGUGAAAUUCUUGGAUUUAUUGAAGACUAACUACUGCGAAAGCAUUUGCCAAGGAUGUUUUCAUUAAUCAAGAACGAAAGUUAGGGGAUCGAAGACGAUCAGAUACCGUCGUAGUCUUAACCAUAAACUAUGCCGACUAGGGAUCGGAUGAUGUUAAUUUUUUAAUGACUCAUUCGGCGCCUUACG